CCUACGGGAGGCAGCAGUGGGGAAUAUUGCACAAUGGGCGGAAGCCUGAUGCAGCGACGCCGCGUGAGGGAUGAAGGCCUUCGGGUUGUAAACCUCUUUCAGCAGGGACGAAGCGUGAGUGACGGUACCUGCAGAAGAAGCACCGGCUAACUACGUGCCAGCAGCCGCGGUAAUACGUAGGGUGCGAGCGUUGUCCGGAAUUACUGGGCGUAAAGAGUUCGUAGGCGGUUUGUCGCGUCGUUUGUGAAAACCCGGGGUCUCAACUUCGGGCUUGCAGGCGAUACGGGCAGACUUGAGUGUUUCAGGGGAGACUGGGAUUCCUGGUGUAGCGGUGAAAUGCGCAGAUAUCAGGAGGAACACCGGUGGCGAAGGCGGGUCUCUGGGAAACAACUGACGCUGAGGAACGAAAGCGUGGGUAGCAAACAGGAUUAGAUACCCUGGUAGUCCACGCCGUAAACGGUGGCGCUAGGUGUGGGUUCCUUCCACGGGGACGUCUGUGCGUAGCUACGCAUAGUCGCCCGCCGUCGGGAGGUACGGCCGCGACGGACGUAAACCGUUAAACGGUAAAGUUAGACGGCGUGGUAGACGUUGCCGAACGGACGACGACGAGGGGAGGUUAGG
This 621-nucleotide ribosomal RNA is filed under the name uncultured bacterium. RNAcentral describes it as "bacterial SSU rRNA". The stretch from base 1 to 523 matches the Rfam family "Bacterial small subunit ribosomal RNA", at positions 338 to 873 of the family's 1533-position model. The record is from RNAcentral.